RNAcentral lists this ribosomal RNA (551 nucleotides) under unidentified. RNAcentral describes it as "Steinernema sp. eAKP6.2_TH partial large subunit ribosomal RNA". It matches the Rfam family "Eukaryotic large subunit ribosomal RNA", at positions 345 to 903 of the family's 3401-position model. The record is from RNAcentral.
CAAGUACCGUGAGGGAAAGUUGCAAAGUACUUUGAAGAGAGAGUUCAAGAGGACGUGAAACCGGUAGGGUGGAAGCAGAUAAAGUUGACGAACGUGUGUCGUAUUCAGAACUACAAUUUGUGGUUUGUUUUUACGAUUCGAUGUGGGCCUGGCGUCUUUGGUUAAACUUAGUGUCUGGCGGCAAUGGUGACCCUGCGGAGGGAUAAUCGGUUGUCGUGCGAUGCUUGGUAUGGCUAGAGGUUCGCUGGUCUUAUAGUCAUCGCUUUAUCUGACCCGUCUUGAAACACGGACCAAGGAGUGUAGCGCUUACGCGAGUCUUAGAGUGUGUCAAAACUUUGAGGCGUAACGAAAGUAAAUGUGGAUUUAUUCACUGACUUGGGAUGCGUUUCUUUUUUGGAUAGCGUUGGACCAUGGUUUUUCGUAAUCGCUUGCGAUGCGGUGAAAAUAGAGCGUAAGCGGUGCGACCCGAAAGAUGGUGAACUAUGCCUGAGCAGGAUGAAGCCGGAGGAAACUCUGGUGGAAGUCCGAAGCGGUCGACGUGCAAAUCGAUC